CCUCCGGUGAGAAACCGUGAUGUUGAAACAAGAACUAUUACUGUCGGUUAGGUUACGAAUUAAGUUGCGAUCGAACUUCAGGAGUUAAUAACAGUGAAAUUAGGAACUCUCUUCGGCCUACGACACCGAUGUUCUUCUAGGGACAGUCCAUCCACAACACAAGGAGUAGGAAGCAAAGAGGACAGGAAAGGGAAAGUACGGCUGAACAGUUCAAAGAAGAGAACCACUACCCACUACGGGUUAGGGAUGCUUAGUUGAGCUCGGUUCUAGACGAUAGACUUUAACAUCAAGGGGUAAAAACGAACUAAAUUAGCGGCACGCGGUACCGGCCUCUACUUCUGCUUCCGCUUUACCUCCGGAACGCCCUCCGAGACGCCGUCGUCUCAGAACGGCACCUCUACGAAUUCCGGCUCGACCUCCUCCUCUCCGUCCGCCGCAGCAGCCCCCGGCUGCUCCGCGACCGGUACUAGGACGCCGACGUCCCGCUCUUCCGCCGCCACGCCUACCUCCGGCUGGUCAAGGCAGCCCACCGCCUCCUCUCCUAGGACGUGCUGCUCCUGAGAGACCGGAAGGAGUUCCGGCAGCAGAAGUCGGUCCUCUACCUGUAGUGGAGGGAGUUCUUGGCGGACGACCAGCAGACGCCGUCGUUGCCAGGGAUGCGCGGCGGGGGGCCGGCCCUGCCGCAGUAGCUGGAGGGGACCGAUUCCUCCGACCGGGUCUUUCUGCACAGCAGCCCCUCCUUGCGGAGAGAGGGCCGCCGCGCCGAGCUCCUCGACACGAGCCUAGAGCUACGGAGACUCCUGCAGCCCCUGUCGUCCGGCCGCUCCUGCAACAGCCUGUAUCCCCUCCACUAGGCCUCCCUCUUCCUCACCCACGCCAGGUUGCACUCGGUGGUCCGCAACGGCGGCUCCGACGUGGCCAGCAGGAGGGUGACAGAGGGCGCCCGCGGCUCGAUGUGUCGCGUUACGCCGUACGGGUUACAGGUGCUGUUCAAGCUCCGCGGCCUCUCGCAGCGCAGGGUACGGGGAGGCUCUAGGUCGUCCUCCAGCAGCGGCCUCUAUUAGAGGCUUCUUCUGCUGCACUAGAGCAGCAGCUGCGCCGCGCCCCUGACGUUGCUGGGGUUCGGUCCUCUGCUCGCGUGUCUGCCGCGGUAACGGCUAGACCCUCGGCCGUAACUACUCUAGUUUAGGUCGCACGUCUGGGAGCGCUGGCUCGAGCCGUCUUACUCCCUUUGGUCGUACAGGUCUCCGCUGCGCGUCUACGUUCACGACCCGCUCUAGACGCGUUUCGAGCUGCGGUACUCCGGGUACUGCUAGUCGUUCGUUGUCUUACGACAAGUACCUCCGUUCUUUGUGAGGUCGUCUCUUCAUCCGUCAAGAAGGUUCCCCGGCCACCGAGACGGUGUCUCACUCGAAGACUACUUGGUAAAGUAGCUCCGUUACUACAUGUAUGGCACUCUAGACGCUUCCCGAUCUACGAAAAAAUAACCAAAACCUCAACUACCUAACUGACUUUCUAACAACUAAAGAAAUGGUAGCAGCGGAAAAGGGCCCGCUUCUACUACACAUGUACUCUCGAAUACACUAUGGCAACACCACAAGACAAUCCAUAUCCACACGACUAAAACAAUCGCAGUGUCCUCUUCCACUGCAACUACAUUACAAUGGUCUAACUAUGAACAUGUUUUUUCUUUUUCUUUUUAGUAGAGCGACAAGAAAACGCUGA
This 1725-nucleotide ribosomal RNA is filed under the name Triticum aestivum (bread wheat). RNAcentral's name for it is "partial small subunit ribosomal RNA". Lineage: Eukaryota; Viridiplantae; Streptophyta; Magnoliopsida; Poales; Poaceae. The record is from RNAcentral.